AGUGAACGCUGGCGGUAGGCCUAACACAUGCAAGUCGAACGGCAGCACAGUAAGAGCUUGCUCUUACGGGUGGCGAGUGGCGGGCGGGUGUGGAAUACAUCGGACUCUACUUUUUCGUGGGGUAUCACGUAGGGACACUUACGCUAAUACCGCAUCCUCCCUACGGGUGAAAGCAGGGGAUCUUCGUCCCUUGCGCGAUUGUAUGAGCCGAUGUCGGAUUAGCUAGUUGGCGGGGUAAAGGCCCACCGAGGCGACGAUCCGUAGCUGGUCUGAGAGGAUGAUCAGCCACACUGGAACUGAGACACGGUCCAGACUCCUACGGGAGGCAGCAGUGGGGAAUAUUGGACAAUGGGCGCAAGCCUGAUCCAGCCAUGCCGCGUGGGUGAAGAAGGCCUUCGGGUUGUAAAGCACUUUUGUUGGGAAAGAAAAGAAGAAGGUUAAUACCCCGCUGUUCUGACGGUACCCAAAGAAGAAGCACCGGCUAACUUCGUG
RNAcentral lists this ribosomal RNA (492 nucleotides) under uncultured bacterium. Its description in RNAcentral is "partial 16S ribosomal RNA". It matches the Rfam family "Bacterial small subunit ribosomal RNA", at positions 29 to 507 of the family's 1533-position model. The record is from RNAcentral.